CAUCACCCAGAGACUUGCAACCGCUUUUCAAAUCAGCAAUUUCAGAGCAUGGCAGGGACAAUUAUGCUUUUGCUUCAACUUGCCAUAUUUUCAGCUGUUCUUGAAGGUGUCCAGUCUCAGAUCCAACUUGUGGAGUCUGGAGGGGAUGUGAAAAGGCCCGGGGAGUCCCUCCGCCUCUCCUGUCGGGCCUCCGGCUUCACCAUCAGCGGCUACUACAUGAGCUGGGUGAGACAAGCCCCUGGAAAGGGCCUGGAAUGGGUUGGAAUUAUGUGGUAUGAUGGAAGCAAACAGUAUUAUGCCGACGCAGUGAAGGGGCGCUUCACCAUCUCCAGAGACACCUCCUCCAACAUGCUGUACCUGCAAAUGAGCAACCUGAAAGCUGAGGACACUGCCCUGUAUUACUGUGCAAGAGACACAGUGGGAGGAAAGCUGCCUAAGCCAGAGAUAUGA
Non-coding RNA from Varanus komodoensis (Komodo dragon), 450 nucleotides. The record is from the annotation of a RefSeq genome assembly. NCBI's taxonomy places the organism in Eukaryota, Metazoa, Chordata, Lepidosauria, Squamata, Varanidae.